RNAcentral lists this ribosomal RNA (432 nucleotides) under uncultured bacterium. RNAcentral describes it as "partial 16S ribosomal RNA". It matches the Rfam family "Bacterial small subunit ribosomal RNA", at positions 29 to 506 of the family's 1533-position model. The record is from RNAcentral.
AACGAACGCUGGCGGCAUGCCUAACACAUGCAAGUCGAACGAGACCUUCGGGUCUAGUGGCGCACGGGUGCGUAACGCGUGGGAACCUGCCCUUAGGUUCGGAAUAACUCCCCGAAAGGGGUGCUAAUACCGGAUAAUGUCUUCGGACCAAAGAUUUAUCGCCUUUGGAUGGGCCCGCGUUGGAUUAGCUAGUUGGUAGGGUAAAAGCCUACCAAGGCGACGAUCCAUAGCUGGUAUGAGAGGAUGAUCAGCCACACUGGGACUGAGACACGGCCCAGACGCCUACGGGAGGCAGCAGUGGGGAAUAUGGGACAAUGGGCGAAAGCCUGAUCCAGCAAUGCCGCGUGAGUGAUGAAGGCCUUAGGGUGGUAAAGCUCUUUUACCCGGGAUGAUAAUGACAGUACCGGGAGAAUAAGCUCCGGCUAACUCCGU